UGAUGAGGCGCCAGGGGUGAAGCAAGGCAUGGGCUGCUGGAGCGGGAAUUCGGGGGCGCCAGUGGCUCCGGAAACGGGGGAGGUUGUCUGCCCUGGCCUCUCCGGAAAUACAUCCUCUGUGAAGUUGCAGCUGCUCUGCAGCCAGGUACUAAAGAGCUGCUGGGACAGGGGAAUGAUGAUCCAGGCUAGGGGUGAGGGGCUGGUGAAUAGGGUACUGGCACCCCCCGAAGGUCUCCUUUCCCCAUAGUAUGAGAAGAUCCUGAAGCUCAUGGCUGAUGCCAAGUUUGAGCAAGCGGCCGGCCUGUGCCGCUGUUAUGAGGAGAAGCAAAGCCCCUUGCAGAAGCACUUGCGGAUCUGCAGCCUACGCAGCAAGUAUGAGGCCAGCCAGGGUCCAGGCUCCUUCUAGAAGGUGCAUGCAGCACAAAGUGCAUGGAGAGUCCAGGGAGACAACUUAACCAUGGUCACAUACCAAGCAGCUGCAGAGCUGGGACCUGACCCUGGCUCUCCUGACUCCGCGGGCUGUGGAUUUGUACCUACAGGAUCAGACCUUGCCCUUUCCUCCUGGCUGACCCUUCCCUAGUCCCCUGUGCCCCAUGUGUGAGCACCCAGCUCACUCUUAUUCCUCCCUCUCCAAAGCAUGGUCCCUGGGAGCACCAGGGGCAAAAGGGGCAGCAGAGACUGUGGACCCCUCAGCUGCACCUAAGACCUCUGUGUGGUCUAGCUAUGUGUGCUGGGGGAGGCUUUUGGCCACCAUUUCCCCCUCUGUAAAUGAGACCGAUACCUGUGGCAUGGAGGGCGGGAGGCCGGUGUGAGUGACAAGCACUUGGAGCAGGGCCCUGAGUGAGCAUGGACUUGGAAACGGGUGUUCCUUGACCUUAUGCACCUUGGGAAUGGGAGUGGGGCUCCCUGCGUGGGUUGAUAGUUCAUUGCUUUCCCCCACUCUGCCUCUUUCCCAGCCCUGCAAGUCCAGUCAUUGGGGGUCCAGAAGGGAAGAAGCCCCUGGCUGUGUUACUUUGGGCUGGUGCCUGGCCCUCUCUGGCUCUGAGUUCCUGGGAACGUCAGCACCCAAGCCAUGCCCUCAAGUUUAGCACCUUGACAAGAAAGGCGGGGACACUGGGAUCAGGCCCACCCCCCUGGCCUUAAACCCUAUGGCCCCAGCUGGAGGAUGAGGAGGUGCUGGGCUUGGAUGGGGGAAUCAGGGGUGUAAAGGGAUCUGCUCGCCCCUCAGCUUGGCUCAAAGGCUCGAGGCAUCAAUGGUUGAGCCUGCCCCUCAGGAAGCAGCCCGGGCCCAGCCAGACACUCACCAGGACGAGGGCAACUCUGACGAGCAGGAGGCCCAGGAUGAGGAGAGCCAUGGCAUAGCUGGAGAUGAAGACGCCCAGCGGGCUGGAGGCUUUGGGGCCAGGAGUGCCUAGAGCAGAGCUAGAAGACUAUGACCAGGUGGAGCCCUGCCUCCCAGACUUCUGAGAAGGCAGAAUCUGGGCCCAGAAGGUGUUGUGGGACCAGAGAUCUGGGGCUAGGAGCAUCUUGGAGGGCUCCAUGAGGUGGGGAGGCAGGCUUCAGAUCAGGGCAUGUGGAGUAGGCAGAUGGACAGAGGGAGAGGGCCUGCAGAGGGAAGGAGGUACUGACUGAGGUCUGGGAUGACGGGUGUGCAGACCCUGGUGCAAACAGUCCCAGGAAGCUUUUACUCCUGGGGGGAGGCGGAGAGGGAGCAGGCCUGUCGCAUGGUGAGAGAGGAAGAAAGAGAGAGGAGGCAUCAGGCUCUUUUAAACAACCAGCUCUCCUGUGAACUGAUAAAAAACUCACUCAUUGAAUCACUUGAACCUGGGAGAUGGAGGGUGCAGUGAGCUGAGAUCACACCACUGCACUCCAGCCUGGGCUGUGAGUGAACUCUGUCUCAAAAAAAAAAAAAAAAAGAAAAAAAAA
RNAcentral lists this long non-coding RNA (1926 nucleotides) under Macaca mulatta (Rhesus monkey). RNAcentral describes it as "lncRNA (ENSMMUG00000058563.1)". The record is from RNAcentral. Lineage: Eukaryota; Metazoa; Chordata; Mammalia; Primates; Cercopithecidae.